RNAcentral lists this ribosomal RNA (497 nucleotides) under uncultured bacterium. RNAcentral describes it as "partial 16S ribosomal RNA". It matches the Rfam family "Bacterial small subunit ribosomal RNA", at positions 28 to 507 of the family's 1533-position model. The record is from RNAcentral.
GAUGAACGCUGGCGGCGUGCCUAAUACAUGCAAGUCGAGCGAACAGACGAGGAGCUUGCUCCUCUGACGUUAGCGGCGGACGGGUGAGUAACACGUGGAUAACCUACCUAUAAGACUGGGAUAACUUCGGGAAACCGGAUCUAAUACCGGAUAAUAUAUUGAACCGCAUGGUUCAAUAGUGAACGACGGUUUUGCUGUCACUUAUAGAUGGAUCCGCGCCGCAUUAGCUAGUUGGUAAGGUAACGGCUUACCAAGGCAACGAUGCGUAGCCGACCUGAGAGGGUGAUCGGCCACACUGGAACUGAGACACGGUCCAGACUCCUACGGGAGGCAGCAGUAGGGAAUCUUCCGCAAUGGGCGAAAGCCUGACGGAGCAACGCCGCGUGGGUGAUGAAGGUCUUCGGAUCGUAAAACUCUGUUAUUAGGGAAGAACGAAUGUGAAAGUAACUAUGCACGUCUUGACGGUACCAAAUCAGGAAGCCACGGCUAACUGCGUG